RNAcentral lists this ribosomal RNA (553 nucleotides) under Chiasmocleis magnova. Its description in RNAcentral is "partial large subunit ribosomal RNA". It matches the Rfam family "Bacterial large subunit ribosomal RNA", at positions 1829 to 2597 of the family's 2925-position model. Lineage: Eukaryota; Metazoa; Chordata; Amphibia; Anura; Microhylidae. The record is from RNAcentral.
CGCCUUUUGACAAAAUAUAGAAGGUCCAGCCUGCCCAGUGACAAAGUUAAACGGCCGCGGUACCCUAACCGUGCGAAGGUAGCGCAAUCAUUUGUUCUUUAAAUAAGGACUAGUAUGAACGGCAUCACGAGGAUUAUACUGUCUCCCCCCUUUAAUCAGUGAAACUGAUCUCCCCGUGAAGAAGCGGGGAUAAACUUACAAGACGAGAAGACCCUGUGGAGCUUCAAACUCUCACCACUUACCUCAAAACACGUCAUAACAAACAGGUAAGCUUGUGUACCAGUUUUAGGUUGGGGCGACCGCGGAGCAAAACUAAACCUCCACGAUGAAGAGAUUCUACUUUUCUAAUCCAAGAGCAACACCUCAAAGAAUCAACAAACUGACACAUUGACCCAAAUACUUUGAUCAACGAACCAAGUUACCCCAGGGAUAACAGCGCAAUCCAUUUCAAGAGCUCCUAUCGACAAAUGGGUUUACGACCUCGAUGUUGGAUCAGGGUAUCCCAGUGGUGCAGCCACUACUAAAGGUUCGUUUGUUCAACGAUUAAAACCCU